GAUAAACGCUAGCGGCAGGCCUCAUACAUGCAAGUCGAGGGGCAGCAUAACACUUCGGUGUUGAUGGCGACCGGCGAACGGGUGCGUAACACGUAUGUAACCUACCUUGUACAGGAGAAUAGCUGCUGGAAACAGCAAUUAAUGCUCCAUAUCUCUUAUUACCACAAGAUAGUAAGAUGAAAGCUCCGGCGGUACAAGAUGGGCAUGCGUCCUAUUAGCUAGUUGGUAAGGUAAUGGCUUACCAAGGUUACGAUAGGUAGGGGGUUUGAGAGAAUGAUCCCCCACACUGGCACUGAGACACGGGCCAGACUCCUACGGGAGGCAGCAGUAGGGAAUAUUGGACAAUGGGCGCAAGCCUGAUCCAGCCAUGCCGCGUGCAGGACGAAGAUCCUAUGGAUUGUAAACUGCUUUUGUACAGGAAAAAUAAGUCCUUGAGAGGACCCAUGAUGGUACUGUAAGAAUAAGCACCGGCUAACUCCGUGCCAGCCGCCGCGGUAAUAC
This 501-nucleotide ribosomal RNA is filed under the name uncultured bacterium. RNAcentral describes it as "bacterial SSU rRNA". It matches the Rfam family "Bacterial small subunit ribosomal RNA", at positions 28 to 526 of the family's 1533-position model. The record is from RNAcentral.